Molecule: non-coding RNA, 3473 nt
Organism: Saimiri boliviensis boliviensis (Bolivian squirrel monkey)
Lineage: Eukaryota; Metazoa; Chordata; Mammalia; Primates; Cebidae
Source: RefSeq, a predicted model, not a curated record
AUGUGUGUUUUUUUGGUGUGUGUGUGUGUGUGUGUCUGUGAAAAGACUGAACAUGGUAAAUUUGGAAUCGAUCCCAGAGAGUAGAAUCCUUGGCUGUAUUCUCCAUAUUUGGGCCACUUACAGCUAUGAGUUCAUUAAGAAAAAUAAAAUGCUUUUUUAUUGUAACACUGCUUGGCCAGAAUAUGUCUUAGAAUUUUGGGACAAAUGGCUGACAAACUGUUCUUUAAGUUAUGCUACUAUAAUGCAACUGGAACUAUUCUGUAAGACAAGAGAAAAUAGGAUGCAAUCCUGUAUGUCCAGGCUUCCAUGCUCUUAGAUCAGAAUGAACCUACUCAAAAGAGGUGUAAUUUGAUGCUGCAAAAGAAAAAACCCAUACCUAAGGUUUUACACUCCCCCUCAUUAGAUGGGGAAGACAGGACACUGCUUGGUGCUUUGAAUCCCCUGAAUAAUCAUCCUGAUCCUCUGCCCGUUCCCCAGUCAGCUGUACCUCCAGCACCACCCCCUCCUUAUGGGAUUGUCUGGGGCAGACUCCCAAACCUGUCCUCCCCAUGGAAUUAGGAUAGGCUGUGGUCUCCCCUUCCUGCAAUGAACAGAAAACCCAAUUUGGCCAGGGAGCCACUGGCCCCUUGGUGUAGGGCAGUUUCCUCUGCGUUAGUUCCGUACUAGGGGACUGAACGUGAAUGGACAACAGGUUGGCAUGAUGUGGGUACAUAUCCUUUUCCCACUUUGGAUCUCUUCAGCUGGAAAAACAGUAAUCCCCCCUAUCCCAAUGCAAGAGAAUGGCUGGGCUCUUCUUGUCUAUAUUUCUGACCUAUCAACCCACAAGGCAGAUAUUCACUUUGUUAAAGUGCUGCUCACAUCAGAAGAAAGGCGUGUGGUUACAGAAAAGGCGAGGGAAGAGGCAAACCGGCUCUGUCUGGAGACGGGAAACAAUCGCCCCUUGCCAAGGGUCAGUUCCCAACACAGAGGCCAAUUGGGAUGUAAAUGAUGGGGUCCUUCCUGCUUAGGACACUAUCAGAAUUGCAUCCUUGAAGGUUUAAAGAAAGGGGUUCCUCAGGUAAAGAACCUCAAUAAGGUACAGGAAGUACAGCAGCAGGCAUAUGAGGACCCUUCAUAAUUCAUAGAAAGAUGCCAUCAGACAUACUGAAAAGUAGAUUGACACUAACCCUGAGGCACCCGACAAUCGGAGAAUGGUCAAUGUGACCUUAAUCAGCCAGAAGCCCUGAUAUUCAAAGAAAACUGCAAAUGGCAAGUGGGAUCCUUGGGUUGCCAAUCUCAUAUUUAGUGGAGUUAGCUUUUAAAGUAUACUAUGCUCAGGAUGAGGCUCAGGAAAAGUGCAAACUGAAGCAACAAGUAACUCGCUGGCAGCUGCACCUGACUACCAACCUAAAGGAAAAGGAAGAAAUCAAAGUAAAGAGAGGUCCAUGCCCCCUUAUGAAAAAAAAAUGUGCCUGUUGUAAGAAGGAGGGACAUGGGAAAAAGGAUUGUCCCAAAUUGACCAAAGCAGCUGGCAACUGCAGUCUCCCUCAAAAUCAGAUGGGGAGAGAAAAGAAUAGACGAAGACUAUGUAUCCCAGGGAGUCCGUUAGACUUGGAGCAACCGGUGGCUAUAUCCCCACAGGAGCCCUGGAUACAACUGACAGUGGGGAACAGAAUGAUGGACUUUUUAGUUGACACAGUGCCACAUAUUAAGUAAUUAACAAUUGUCUCUCUCCAACUUUGGGAAAAAUCAUUACUGUUAACAGGAAUACUGGGAGACACCAUUACCCCUUUCUACAAUCCUUAGGUUACCAUUUAGGAGAGACCAGCCUUAGAGCAUAAUUUCUUGUACAUGCUUAAUGCCCAGUGCCCCUCCUGGGCUGGGAUUUGCUUGCCAAAUUGUGUGCUCAACUUGUCUUUCCCUCCAGAUGCCUAGAUAUAAUUAUUCCUUCUGAAUAAGUUUGCAGGUUUCAAAUAUUCCUGCUCCAACCAGAAAACGAAGAGGUUCAGGACAUUCCAGAAGAAAUUCUCAUGCAGACAUACCACUUCAUGCCUUCCAGGUACAGACCAAGUCUUAAUUAAAACCUGGAGGGAGACUGGACUGGAUCACCAACUAGUCCCUCAAAGGGUAUAGCAGCACAAGAGACAACUUAGAAAAAGCGAAGAUAGGCCAGGCACAGUGGCUCAUGCCUGUAAUCCCAACACUCUGAGAGGCUGAGAGCUGGAAUACCCUACCUUCUCCUACUCUUGGACAUCAGAAGUCCAGGCUUCCUGGCCUUUGGACUUGAGGACUUGCACCACCAGUGUUCUCCAACCCUUACCAGAUUUCCAGGCCUUCAGCCUUGGAUUGAGAGUUACUCCACCAGCUUCCCUGGUUCUCCAGCUUGCAGACAGCCUACUAUGAAACUUCUCGGCCUUCCUAAGCACAUAAGCUAAUUCCCCUAAUAAAAAAGCCCUGCCACCCACCCAUUCAUUCAUUCAUCCAUCCAUCCAUCCAUCCAUCCAUCCAUCCAUCCAUCCAUCCAUCCUACUGGUUCUACCAUUCUGGAGAACUCAUACUAAAUUACCACUUUAAUCAUACUGAUGCUUCCCCCAUUUUCUAAGUGAAAAUACUUUUGUCUUUAUCAGUUCAGAUACUUCGCAAUUUUUCUAUUUGGAUUUUAAUAUUUUUCUUUUAAUUUGUAUUAACUCUAACAACCUUCCUUAUUCUAAAAACUAUACCACAUUAAUGUAGCCUACGAACAUAAGACCCUUUUUGAUAGCCACAUAAAACUCUUGGCUUAAGUUCAGUAUCAAUGAAAAUUUCUAAGGCCCUUUCCCAUUUGCCUCUGAAAAGUCACAUAUUCCUGUCCUAUAACUGAUUUUUCCAGUGCUAAAUGCAAAAUAAAGAGCAGAAUAAUAUCUCCUGGUUCAAACUGAUCAGCAAGAAUUCCUCAUCAGUAUCAUUAUAUGUUUUCAUUAAUUACAGUAUUAAUUUCUACCUCAUUAGAAAAAGGAAAGCAGAGAAAGGUACCUGACCGAUUGUUGCAAAUUUGGGGUCUGGGUGUGGAAAUGCCGAGGAGUUGAGUGAACCUGGAUCCCAUGUAGAUUACACCUAGGUCUUUGUUUAACAGGCUUAUUCAUGGUGUGGGCUGGUUGCAUGAAAUGUGCUGAGUCUUCAAAACCACUUGACCUGGGUACACUGGAAUUCCAAUUCCUUAAAGAGAGUAUUUCCACACAAUAUUACUGGUUUCCAAAUUUAGUAGUCAAUUUAGUGACUAUACUUUGGCCUAUGAAAAUAACAAUUUCUUCCUUCUCCCAUUCCCAUUUGUUUACAUCUUCCCAAACAAAUAAGCUACCAGAAGAAUAGAUAUAUGAAACUUAAAUUAUAUAAAAAGAGAUCUCCCUGCCAUACAAAUCUCACAUAUAAAACACAAGAAUUAUGGGCGCUGUAGCUCACGCCUGACAUCUUAACACGUUGGGAGACCUAGGCAAGCAGAUCACAAGGUCAGGAGU